AUGGUGAACAUGAUAUACGCAACCCACGUCCCCAAAAGGGAGCGGAAGCGCGCGUUAAGGGACGUAUACACGGUAGAGCCAGUCGCCCCAAAGUUCAAUCCAUGGUCCUCUUGCCCGAUCACCUUUGAUCGAAGGGACCAUCCCACUAGCAUCCAUCAUGGCGGGUUUGCCGCAUUGGUCCUAGACCCAAUUAUUGACGGAUUUCAUCUCACUAGAGUCCUUAUGGACGGCGGCGGCAGCCUGAACCUGCUUUACCAGGAUACAGUGCGGAAAAUGGGCAUAGAUCCCUCAAGGAUUAAGCCCACCAAAACGACCUUUAAAGGCAUAAUACCAGAUGUAGAGGCCAACUAUACAGGCUCAGUCACACUUGAAGUGGUCUUCGGAUCUCCGGAUAAUUUCCGAAGCGAGGAGUUAAUCUUUGACAUAGUCCCGUUUCGCAGUGGUUAUCAUGCACUGCUCGGGCGAACCGCAUUCGCUAAGUUCAAUGUGGUACCGCACUACGCAUACCUUAAGCUCAAGAUGUCAAGCCCUCGAGGAGAAAUUACGAUCAAUGGAAACACCGAACGCACACGGUAG
This 576-nucleotide ribosomal RNA is filed under the name Triticum aestivum (bread wheat). Its description in RNAcentral is "partial small subunit ribosomal RNA". The record is from RNAcentral. Lineage: Eukaryota; Viridiplantae; Streptophyta; Magnoliopsida; Poales; Poaceae.